CACGGGGGGAGCAAGCGUUGUUCGGAAUCACUGGGCGUAAAGGGCGUGUAGGCGGUCAAGUAAGUGGAAUGUGAAAGCCCCCGGCUUACCCGGGGAUCUGCAUCCCAAACUGCUUGGCUUGAGUACGGGAGAGGAUAGGGGAAUUCCUGGUGUAGCGGUGAAAUGCGUAGAUAUCAGGAGGAACACCGGUGGCGAAGGCGGCUCUCUGGACCGGUACUGACGCUGAGACGCGAAAGCUAGGGGAGCAAACGGG
RNAcentral lists this ribosomal RNA (253 nucleotides) under uncultured bacterium. RNAcentral describes it as "partial 16S ribosomal RNA". It matches the Rfam family "Bacterial small subunit ribosomal RNA", at positions 524 to 776 of the family's 1533-position model. The record is from RNAcentral.